AUGGAGACCGGGAUUGUGUGGCUGGUGCAGGCCAUCCUCGGAACACUCCGAAUCGACAAGCUGGAUGCGUGGAUCCGCCAAGCCGGGCUUGCCGACGACAUCGAGAGGCUCCGGUGCGAGAUCGAGAGGGCCGAGGUGGCGGUCAGCGCAGUGAGGGGGCGGGCGGCCGUGAACGAGCCGCUGGACCGGUCUCUCGCUCGCCUCAAGGACCUGCUCUACGAAGCCGACGAUGUGGUCGACGACCUCGACUACUGCAGGCUCCAGCAGCAGGUCCAAGGAGUUGCAUGCGGUGAUCCUGGCAGAAUGCAUGAAGCAGAGCGAGUAGAUGAGAGAUCGAGGGGAGGUGAUGCUAAUAUACUUGGUACCAGUGGUGGCAAGAAAUGGUCCAAAGCAUGGUGUGAUUUUGAUAUCACAGAGGAAAACAACGGAAAGCCUGUGAAAGCAAAGUUUAAACACUGUCAAAAAGCAGUUAAAUGCGGAAGUGACAGAGGGACGUCAAUCUGGAACAACCAUGUCAAGAGUCAGGGUUGUAAGAACUCCAGAGCAACUGACCAGCCGCCAAACUCUUCAUGGUACAUAUUUUAA
RNAcentral lists this ribosomal RNA (585 nucleotides) under Triticum aestivum (bread wheat). Its description in RNAcentral is "partial small subunit ribosomal RNA". The record is from RNAcentral. Lineage: Eukaryota; Viridiplantae; Streptophyta; Magnoliopsida; Poales; Poaceae.